RNAcentral lists this ribosomal RNA (483 nucleotides) under uncultured bacterium. Its description in RNAcentral is "bacterial SSU rRNA". It matches the Rfam family "Bacterial small subunit ribosomal RNA", at positions 376 to 850 of the family's 1533-position model. The record is from RNAcentral.
CGAAAGCCUGACRCAGCAACGCCGCGUGUGGGAUGAAGCUCCUUGGAGUGUAAACCACUGUCAGGAGGGACGAACGAUCUUGGCUUUAAUACGGCCUUGGUUUGACGGUACCUCCAGAGGAAGCUCCGGCCAACACCGUGCCAGCAGCCGCGGUAAUACGGGGGGAGCAAGCGUUGUUCGGAAUCACUGGGCGUAAAGGGUGCGUAGGCGGGAGAUUAGRUCGGAUGUGAAAACCUCGGGCUCAACCCGGGGCCUGCAUUCGAAACCAGUUUUCUUGAGUAUCGGAGAGGGAAGCGGAACUCCAGGUGUAGCGGUGAAAUGCGUAGAUAUCUGGAGGAACACCGGUGGCGAAGGCGGCUUCCUVGCCGAAUACUGACGCUCAGGCACGAAGGCUAGGGGAGCAAACAGGAUUAGAUACCCUGGUAGUCUAGCGGUAAACGAUGGGCACUAGGUAUCGGGGGUAUCGACCCCCUCGGUGCCGCA